This 642-nucleotide ribosomal RNA is filed under the name uncultured bacterium. RNAcentral describes it as "bacterial SSU rRNA". It matches the Rfam family "Bacterial small subunit ribosomal RNA", at positions 202 to 842 of the family's 1533-position model. The record is from RNAcentral.
AAAGGAGCGAUCCGGUGACGGAUGGGCAUGCGUGACAUUAGCUAGUCGGCGGGGUAACGGCCCACCGAGGCGACGAUGUCUAGGGGUUCUGAGAGGAAGGUCCCCCACACUGGUACUGAGACACGGACCAGACUCCUACGGGAGGCAGCAGUGAGGAAUAUUGGUCAAUGGGCUUACGCCUGAACCAGCCAAGUCGCGUGAGGGAAGACUGCCCUAUGGGUUGUAAACCUCUUUUGUCAGGGAGCAACGCCGGCUACGUGUAGCCGGACUGAGAGUACCUGAAGAAAAAGCAUCGGCUAACUCCGUGCCAGCAGCCGCGGUAAUACGGAGGAUGCGAGCGUUAUCCGGAUUUAUUGGGUUUAAAGGGUGCGUAGGCGGAAUGCCAAGUCAGCGGUAAAAUCGCGGGGCUCAACCUCGCUCCGCCGUUGAAACUGGCGUUCUUGAGUGGGCGAGAAGUAUGCGGAAUGCGUGGUGUAGCGGUGAAAUGCAUAGAUAUCACGCAGAACUCCGAUUGCGAAGGCAGCAUACCGGCGCCCAACUGACGCUGAAGCACGAAAGCGUGGGUAUCGAACAGGAUUAGAUACCCUGGUAGUCCACGCAGUAAACGAUGAAUACUAGCUGUUCGGGGCAAUUGGGCCUUGA